UUUAAACAAAAAUUUAUACACAUUCUCCUUGAAAAUACAGAUGGAUACCUAUAGCUUUGGGAGUGCCUAUUAGUAAGGUACCUGAAAAAAGAACCCGCAAAAAAAGGUACCUGAAAAAAAAUGUUGCAUUAGUCAUUUUGAACCGUCAGAUCUUCAUCCAAAAACCCUAAAUAGAUCAACACUAUUCAUCUUCUUCCUCCUUUCGUCAUCC
This 211-nucleotide long non-coding RNA is filed under the name Hordeum vulgare. RNAcentral describes it as "long non-coding RNA (HVUL_LNC017246)". The record is from RNAcentral. Lineage: Eukaryota; Viridiplantae; Streptophyta; Magnoliopsida; Poales; Poaceae.